AUGGAAGCACCAAAAUAUCCGAUCAACCACCACGGCACCACCGCAAGCACCGCCCCAGCUGCAACGCCUGCGCCCUCUCCCCUCUCGCUCUCUCUAAACCCCAGGUACCGCGGCGCGGCGAACGCCGGCGAGAUGGCAGGAGCCCUCGCGCGACCGCGCAACGCUAGCGACGACCGCAUCAACGAGCUACCGGAAGUGCUCCUCUCGGACAUCCUCUCCCGCCUCGGUACCGCAGAAGCGGCCCGCACCGUCGUCCUCUCCACGCGCCUCCACGACGCGUGGCUCGCGACCCCCCUCCGCCUCGACGACCUGGAGCUCCCCGUCCCCGCACGCGGCAAGGUCCCCUCGAUCGAGCCCUGGACGGCGCGCGCCGACGUCGUCACCCGCGCCCUAGCCUCCCACCCCGGCCCCGUCGCGCUCUUCCGCCUCUCCCGGACCUCCUUCCGCGGCCGCGUCCCCGCCGCCGAGGCCUGGUUCCGGAAGCUCGCCGCCAAGCGGGCCCGCGAGGUCUCCCUCUGCUUCUCGCCCGAGUGGUGCCACGACGCGCUCGCCGACCCCCUUCUCGGCUGCCCAACCCUCCAGGUCCUCGCCCUUGGCAAGUGCCACCUCUCCGACGCCGGGGCCUCAGCCGCCGCCGCCGCCGCCCUCACCGAGCUCACCCUGUCGGAAACCUGCAUUUCCGAGGCCGCCCUUCAGAGCGUACUCUCCGGCUGCCCCGCGCUGCGCAGCCUCGUGCUCAAGCACGUCCACGGCCUUCAGCGCAUCCGCGUCUCUUCUUGCCGCAGUCUCGUUCUGCUCGGUGUGUGGCACUACAAGCAGCUCGACGAGAUCACCGUGGAGGAUGCCCCUUGCCUCGAGCGCCUUCUCGGCAAUAUGCGUCUGAAUGCAGCCAUUACCGUCACUGGCGCGCCAAAGCUUACUGCUUUUGGCUAUGCCGUGGUCAGCAUCCCGCAUUUGUUCCACGGCGAGCGUGCGCCGCAGGGCGUCAACAAGGGUCUGCGUGCCCCGAUCCAUAGCGUGAAGAUCCUGGCUAUCAGUGUGAAGUUCUCAAGCAAGAAGGACAUGGAGAAGGUGAUGAGCUUACUCGACAGCUUUCCCUGCUUGGAGACUUUGCAUUUCCAGUCCUCAGAUUACAGGUCAGGUGCAGACAAGGAUUGCACCACUGUCUCUGACUACAUCCAGAAGCGUUAUCCCAUCAGAGCACAUGUGCUGCAGUUCAUGAGGAUUCAGUCCGAGAUGUGCGACAUUCCAAAAUGGGUUACAGAGCAGCAAAAUCUGCUCAGCCAAAGCAACAUGGCCUCCUUGGAAGCUGAGGUCGUGUUUGAGGGUAUGAAACAACGCAAGGACUUCACCAUAGAAGGUGUGAAUGCUCUAUCUGACCCCUUUGACGGUGGCAUCAACAUCUUGGGGCACUAA
This 1416-nucleotide ribosomal RNA is filed under the name Triticum aestivum (bread wheat). RNAcentral describes it as "partial small subunit ribosomal RNA". The record is from RNAcentral. Lineage: Eukaryota; Viridiplantae; Streptophyta; Magnoliopsida; Poales; Poaceae.